AUGUAACCCUACUCCUAAGUCCA
This 23-nucleotide non-coding RNA is filed under the name Rattus norvegicus (Norway rat). Lineage: Eukaryota; Metazoa; Chordata; Mammalia; Rodentia; Muridae. The record is from RNAcentral.